RNAcentral lists this ribosomal RNA (492 nucleotides) under uncultured bacterium. RNAcentral's name for it is "partial 16S ribosomal RNA". It matches the Rfam family "Bacterial small subunit ribosomal RNA", at positions 29 to 507 of the family's 1533-position model. The record is from RNAcentral.
AGUGAACGCUGGCGGUAGGCCUAACACAUGCAAGUCGAACGGCAGCACAGUAAGAGCUUGCUCUUACGGGUGGCGAGUGGCGGACGGGUGAGGAAUACAUCGGAAUCUACUUUUUCGUGGGGGAUAACGUAGGGAAACUUACGCUAAUACCGCAUACGACCUACGGGUGAAAGCAGGGGAUCUUCGGACCUUGCGCGAUUGAAUGAGCCGAUGUCGGAUUUGCUAGUUGGCGGGGUAAAGGCCCACCAAGGCGACGAUCCGUAGCUGGUCUGAGAGGAUGAUCGGCCACACUGGAGCUGAGACACGGUCCAGACUCCUACGGGAGGCAGCAGUGGGGAAUAUUGGACAAUGGGCGCAAGCCUGAUCCAGCCAUACCGCGUGGGUGAAGAAGGCCUUCGGGUUGUAAAGCCCUUUUGUUGGGAAAGAAAAGCAGCAGGUUAAUACCCCGCUGUUCUGACGGUACCCAAAGAAUAAGCACCGGCUAACUUCGUG